GAAACGCUCACUAAUGGAAAUGAAACUUAUGAACAGUUUAACCAACCUCAAACGAAAACAGCAUACUUAUAGUAUAAAUAAGAAAUUCACAUAAAUAAUAGCCGAACAGUAAUGCAUGAAACCCAGUGAAAUGACAUAGUGUUAAUAUGCAAACCAAACUAAUUUUAAUUCCUGGGAAAGAAGGGAGAAAAAAGUAAAAUACACGAG
Molecule: non-coding RNA, 207 nt
Organism: Pelobates cultripes (western spadefoot toad)
Lineage: Eukaryota; Metazoa; Chordata; Amphibia; Anura; Pelobatidae
Source: the annotation of a GenBank genome assembly